Molecule: unclassified non-coding RNA, 478 nt
Filed under: Hevea brasiliensis (rubber tree)
Lineage: Eukaryota; Viridiplantae; Streptophyta; Magnoliopsida; Malpighiales; Euphorbiaceae
Source: RNAcentral
AAGGAGUUCAGGGUGGAAGUUGAGGCCAUUGGGAAAGUGAGACACAAAAACCUUGCGGGUCUUCUUGGUUAUUGUUCAGAAGGUGUUCAUAGGAUACUAGUGUAUGAGUACAUUGACAAUGGCAAUUUGGAGCAAUGGCUACACGGUGAUGUAGGGUCUGUUAGUCCUCUAACUUGGGAAAUCAGACUGAGAAUUGCAAUUGGAACUGCUCGAGGACUUGCCUAUUUGCACGAAGGUUUGGAACCCAAAGUUGUGCAUCGUGAUGUUAAAUCAAGUAAUAUUCUGUUGGAUAGGAAAUGGAAUCCAAAAGUAUCAGAUUUUGGACUUGCCAAGCUGCUAGGACCUGAGAAAAGCUAUGUGACUACCCGUGUUAUGGGAACUUUUGGAUAUGUUUCUCCUGACUAUGCCAGCACUGGUAUGCUUAAUGAGGGGAGCGACGUGUAUAGCUUUGGUGUAUGCUCAUGGAGAUAAUUACAGG